GCCCCUUUAGUUCAAUGGCUAGAACGAGUGUUUUGUAAACACCUGAUACUGGUUCGACUCCGGUAAGGGGCUCCA
This 75-nucleotide transfer RNA is filed under the name Caudoviricetes sp. RNAcentral describes it as "tRNA-Thr". It matches the Rfam family "tRNA". From Rfam's summary of the family: Transfer RNA (tRNA) molecules are approximately 80 nucleotides in length. Their secondary structure includes four short double-helical elements and three loops (D, anti-codon, and T loops). Further hydrogen bonds mediate the characteristic L-shaped molecular structure. tRNAs have two regions of fundamental functional importance: the anti-codon, which is responsible for specific mRNA codon recognition, and the 3' end, to which the tRNAs corresponding amino acid is attached (by aminoacyl-tRNA synthetases). tRNAs cope with the degeneracy of the genetic code in two manners: having more than one tRNA (with a specific anti-codon) for a particular amino acid; and 'wobble' base-pairing, i.e. permitting non-standard base-pairing at the 3rd anti-codon position. The record is from RNAcentral. Lineage: Duplodnaviria; Heunggongvirae; Uroviricota; Caudoviricetes.